RNAcentral lists this ribosomal RNA (292 nucleotides) under uncultured bacterium. Its description in RNAcentral is "partial 16S ribosomal RNA". The record is from RNAcentral. RNAcentral also lists the same sequence under 1 other name.
GGACUACUAGGGUUUCUAAUCCCGUUUGCUCCCCUGGCUUUCGCGCCUCAGCGUCAGAAGGGGUCCAGCGCGCCGCUUUCGCCACCGGUGUUCCUUCCGAUAUCUACGCAUUUCACCGCUCCACCGGAAGUUCCGCACGCCCCUACCCCCCUCGAGGCCGGCAGUAUCAAAGGCGCUUCCGCGGUUGAGCCGCGGGCUUUCACCCCUGACUUGCCGGCCCGCCUACGCGCCCUUUAAGCCCAGUGAUUCCGAACAACGUUAGCACGGUUCGUCUUACCGCGGCGGCUGGCAC